UAGCUACGAAAAACAUUCGUCGUUAGUUUUUUCAAAAGACAAUUUCGUAGAUAGUAUAUUUUUAGGGCAUUGACAUAACUUGUAUUCUCUCUCUGCCUCUUAGCCGUAAGUGCUCUGGUCUUUUUCUUUUCAAGUUUUAAUCUAGGGUUUCAGGAUAAGGGAGUGCCAUGGCUAGCGUAUAAUAGCUUACAAUUCCAUCCAGUCCCUACUAGGCCUUUCACUACCGAGGCCCUCUCCUUGUUCUAUUUCAGCUUUCAGCUCUUUUGACUUCACAACCAUGGCCGAACAGAAUCCCCUCUCUCUUUCUCUCAGUCACUUGCUCGCUUGGAAAUCUGAGUGAUUUAUUAUUGUAUUGUUGCAUACAAGAAAGCAUUCUUGAAGCAGCUAGGUAAAUACAUCUUCAUGUGUUAGGUCUUAUACAUUUUUUAGGCUAAGGUUAGUCAUAUUUGUGUGAAUGACAGCUCAAAGAAAAAAAAAAAAAACAAGGAAGGGAGGCAACCAUUAUUUUUAGAGCAUUGGUCUAGGCUUCCAGACUCCUCGAGAGGCUGUUGAAGAGCUUGAAGCAGAAAGAGUACAAGAGUUGUGUUGAUAAGCUAAAUCUUGAUGAAACCCUUUAUGAUGAUACCUCAAGAAUUGUUAGAGCAACAUUGAUUACACAACAAGAAUGACAGUAGGAUGAGAUGGAUGUUGCAACUUGGAUGUAUUACGAGUCCGUGGGAGGAGAGAUGGAGAGAAGAGUUUAUGGCCUUGGGUCUUAAGGGAAACACGAUUAUGGCAUCACUCUCAAGCACCAUUAGUUAGCUUUGUCUUUCAAACUCUAUUAUAUUAGUUGAAGAAUAACUAUGGACGUCUUUAAAGCUUUAGGAUUUCUGUAUUUUUGGAUCUACGAUACUAUUUAUAUGAAAUUAGUUUCUUGUGAUGCUUAUUAAA
Lycium barbarum (goji berry) is the source of this 930-nucleotide long non-coding RNA. RefSeq lists it as uncharacterized. The record is from RefSeq and is a predicted model, not a curated record. The transcript has 3 exons. Lineage: Eukaryota; Viridiplantae; Streptophyta; Magnoliopsida; Solanales; Solanaceae.